Molecule: long non-coding RNA, 2813 nt
Organism: Haliotis rubra (blacklip abalone)
Lineage: Eukaryota; Metazoa; Mollusca; Gastropoda; Lepetellida; Haliotidae
Exons: 9
Source: RefSeq, a predicted model, not a curated record
GAAUUGAUGUCAUACUGUGACUAGACCCAGAGCUGUCAAAACUGGCAGGUGCCCGUUCACCGACUGUCAGUGAUUGCCUUUCGGACUCAAAGGACAACGAGUGAAGCUUAACAUUUCAGAUUCAAGGAAAACUGCACAUAUGAACCAAUGAAAUCCGGUUUUACAAACUUAACUGACUUGCUGGACGGCCGCCAAGAUUCGAAAGAUUUGAGCUGUCAAACUCAGCUGAGUGACAAUGGUGGUAUAGGCGGGUGUUCUAGCAGAUAAGCGAAGAACACUUUGAUAGUCUUCUUUCUUGGAUGAAAAGUCUUCAUAUGCAGGGGCAAGAAAAGAAGUAGCUGUUUUUGAACAGAGGAACAAUGGUCGUCCAGAGAGAAAUCAAACCAAAACACGAGAUGGUGUUUACGUCUGCGAAGUCGCCUGCAGACGACAACAACCCUUCUCUGGAUGAUUGUCCUUUAUUGCUAAAUCAACUAAAUAUUUCGCCUCAGGUGUCGUCGGAAAAGUUUUCUGACAUAUACAGGAAACUUCAAGAAGCAAUGAAAACACUCCCUGUGGAUCCCCCAACCUUGAAAAGACUGGCUCCAAGUGGUCAUGGCAUGGAUCUGAGACUAAGAGCUGUCACUGUUAUUCGAUGUCUGCAUUUGUUCUUUGGUGGUACUAGUGAUGUGUUUGCAACAUCCAUCAGUGUCUUGGACUCUUUUAUGUCUCUUGUCCGAGUUCAACAGAAGUAUCUAUCAUGUGUUGCAGCAGCUUGUUUUUUCAUUUCGUCCAAAGUGCAUUUAGAAGAGGAGGAAAUUCCAAGUGGCAACGAACUUGCAUAUUUACAUGGGAACAAGUGGACAUCAUCAGAUCUCUGCAGGAUGGAGGUUGUCAUUCUACAGAAACUCAGAUGGGAUAUUCCAAAACCAACUACCUCACAUUCAUCAGACUGUUUGAAAAACUGUUUGCUCAAUUUCAUCAUACAUCUCUUUGUCUUGACACUCUCAUCCAUAUGGCUGAAAGCUUCACCAAACUAGAAGAAAGUACAGUAUUCAGGGCACCAACACUUGCCUUUUGUAUACUUUGUCACAUACUGGAGAAACAAGGCGAUAUUGCUGCUGAUACUAGACUCAUUUUGAUACAUCUACAGUUAAUAUGUGAUAUCCAAGAUUCUGAGUUAUUUGAAUGCAAAGAUCUCCUUGGCCAAAGUUUAAAGGAGAGUGGACUCCAAGCUAGUCAAUCAAGCCGUCCAUCAGUUUUCUUCCCAUUCCUGAAAAUUCGCUCACGACCAAGCUCAGAAGGAGAAAGUGAACUUCCAUCCAUUACUGAAAUCAGUUCCUACUAGACAGAUCACAUCAUCAAAUCCAGAGUAAAGAAAUGAGUCAGCUUGGACCAUUAGCCUGUUCGUCAUUGUUUCAACGUAACUGAUCCGAUCAAAUUUUAUUCAAAGUGAUUUUUCUUGUGGAAUGUUCAAUAGUCCAUGAGAUCCAUGAGAAGGUACUCACUUCACAAUGAAUCAAGUCGUUAUUAGACUAUGAUGAAUCUCAUCAUUCACAUCAUCAUUCAUUGUACAUUGAAUCAUUUCAUUUACUUGUCUGUGAUAAAAUUGAAAUACCCACCCUCAAGGUGUUCAGUUAAAACUGAGAUAAAAACACUUCAUAACAAUGUACCCUAAUACUGAACACAAAACACCCAUUACAACCCCAUUUUGUGUAACAUUUGUAGAUGUCAUCUUGUUUUAUGCUUUGUUGUUUUACCAUAGUCCUGAGAAUGCUGUCAUUGUAACAUGUUAUAACUGACCACUUUUUAAAAGUUAUUAAUGGUCAGUGUCCAGUACAUUUUAACCAGUUAGUAAUGAAAUGGAAGAUGUCCCCUUCAUUAUCUUUCAUUUAACAAAGUGUUUAGGGGGUUCCAUCAUGAUGAUCUGUGACUUUUAUUACACUACUGAUUUAAUGGACUUCGUUAAUUUAACACUGAUGCACAUCCACCACAUUCACCAAAACUGUAAGGAAGUAUCGUAAAUAUGAUCUUUCUACCUAUUCUGGGGAAAGUGAAGCUAAAGAGUCCCCGUUUGCGUCAUCACCUGUCAUUGAUUCUGAUUUUUCUAUUGAGGUUAUUUUCAUGGAAGAAGAUCCCCUUUAAGAUUUAUUUAAUUCAAUUUACAUGAUGAAGGGGGGGAAUUAUUUAUUGUGAUUGGUUAUGAAAUACCUAGUCAGAAAACUUAAUAUAUUUUUCUUCAUACCCCCAUCCCAAGUAAACUGCUAGCCAUGUUGUUUAGUUUUUAGUCUAAUCAUCAUUAAAGGAAAAAUCUGUUUUAAUACGGUAUUGUACAUUUCAUUGAUAAAUGAAAUAGAUUAUGUAUAUCUCAGUAUUCAUGAAAGCUUAUAGCGUUGUUAAGACUUAACAUGCGUAAGGUGCAAUAAUUAUUUUUAAUGUAAAGGUGUAUGAGAGUUUGGAUUUUAUUUAUUACCAUCAAUUAUUUAUCAUAUGAACAUGUUUUAUGAUGUGAGAACAAGUCUUGUAUUCACAUUAAUUUUUGGAGUCCAUGAAGGGACAGCAGAUAAAUGCAUAUGCAGUGUUUGAAAUAAAGUUUGAAAAUCAAGCAUUCCUUGCCAUUAUCUCAAUUACGUAACUUAAUUCUUGGGUGAAAGACCUCAAUUUCAAACACUACCAUGCAUUGUUAUUGUUUCUAUUUCCUAUGUUAUGACUAAAAGAAUCAUUGUGUAAAUACAUGUGAUCUUAUAGCAGUUGAAUGCAAAGUACAUAAUAUGUAAUGAUACAUGUUCAUGUAGUCCAUUUUUUUACCACAAUUAAAUUUUAUAGAAAUUUGA